GGCUGUUGGGACGGAAAACGGAAAAAUGACUUUUGUUAGGAAACAACACAUGGCAGACUUCAGCCCCAACCCUUAAUUUUCCCAACCGCCCCUCUCAAUUGAAAGUUUCAUAAGUAAAGCAAAAUGCAUCGAAUCCCACGUUUUCCCCGUUUAUGGUGGCGUACACAUACCAUCCACCCGAGGGAGAACUUCCAAUUAGAUUUCCGCAUCGCACCUUCCUUACAGAGAAGAGGCUAUUAUUUCAAUUGGAAAAAAGGAAAAUCGAGCCUCCACCAGACGUGACGUUGGGGACGUUUCUGUCCUGUUCCUUAUUUAGUAGAAAUAAGUAGUUGUGAUUGUGGGUGUGUCACUCACCUGGAUGAUAACAAGAAUUCUUCGAUAUUGAAAAUUUUGGUGCUUAAAGUAAUAUUCUAGUUUUAUUUUUUUUUCGUA
This is a long non-coding RNA of Uranotaenia lowii, 432 nucleotides long. RefSeq lists it as uncharacterized. The record is from RefSeq and is a predicted model, not a curated record. The transcript has 2 exons. Lineage: Eukaryota; Metazoa; Arthropoda; Insecta; Diptera; Culicidae.